GCAGUGGUAGUUCAGUGGUAGAAUUCUCGCCUUCCACGUGGGAGACCCAGGUUCGAUUCCCAGCCAAUGCA
RNAcentral lists this transfer RNA (71 nucleotides) under Loxodonta africana (African savanna elephant). It matches the Rfam family "tRNA". From Rfam's summary of the family: Transfer RNA (tRNA) molecules are approximately 80 nucleotides in length. Their secondary structure includes four short double-helical elements and three loops (D, anti-codon, and T loops). Lineage: Eukaryota; Metazoa; Chordata; Mammalia; Proboscidea; Elephantidae. The record is from Rfam by way of RNAcentral.